RNAcentral lists this ribosomal RNA (253 nucleotides) under uncultured bacterium. RNAcentral's name for it is "partial 16S ribosomal RNA". It matches the Rfam family "Bacterial small subunit ribosomal RNA", at positions 524 to 776 of the family's 1533-position model. The record is from RNAcentral.
UACAGAGACUGCGAGCGUUAUUCGGAUUCACUGGGCGUAAAGGGUGCGCAGGCGGCCAGGUGUGUGAGGCGUGAAAUCCCGGGGCUUAACCCCGGAAUUGCACCUCAAACUACAUGGCUAGAGCAUUGGAGAGGGUAGCAGAAUUCACGGUGUAGCAGUGAAAUGCGUAGAUAUCGUGAGGAAUACCAGAGGCGAAGGCGGCUACCUGGACAAUUGCUGACGCUCAGGCACGAAAGCGUGGGGAGCAAAAGGG